UGAAGGACCCUGUCUUAAACUCAAUUGAAACUUAUGUAACACCUGCAUGACGCGGAUUCAUCAAUAGAACAUAAGAACAUGGUUUUCUAUUGGAACAAACCAAUGUGAAAAGGCAAUUGAUAAAACCAUUCGACCAUCUGGGACAUCACAAGCAGACAAACACAUUAAAAUAUUCUAGGACAUCACAUGCAGAUAAGCACAUUAAAAUAUACGCCUUAGGCCUCACCAAAGCGUAAACUCCCUACAGAGAAAAUAAGAGAAACAAUUCAUGUUCAAUGCACUAAAGCUACACAUGUAUAGGUCCUUUAAAUGGAGAUCUAAUCUAUUAUCUUAACAGAAGGACUUUGCAGUCAAAUGCAUACGGAAUCACUAUCACCUGAGUUAUGCAAAGGGCAACAACAGGGCUUCUAAUUCCUUGGUUCAAAUACAGUCUCCGCAAAACAUGAAUACUAACCUUCUGUUGUUUACAAGUGAAGUUGCAUGCACAUAGACACAUCAAUAAGAAAUCACCAGAUGUGAAUGAAUCUAAACACUAGUAAUCUGAUUACACUCAAUGCGAUUCAACAUUAAAUCACAAUCGCAGAUAUUCCAACUUUGUCAAUUAUCUAGGUUCAACUCAAAUAAGCCAACAAAAUACACUCAGGAGCAAUGAAAUAAUCAUCCUAGACCUUAGUCAUGCGAUCGAUCUUCUAGUUAACAAAAGAAGCAAAGCACCAAAUGCCAUGUGUUUUCAAACAAAAAGGCUAAUGGACUGAAACAAGCAAGAAUACCUUUCAUGGAGGAAAUGAUCUCAAUAUGCAAAUCAGGGAUGCCAUUAAUCAACAAACUCACUAGGUUGAAGUGUAUGUUAGAGUCAGAUUAACAUUCAAUAACUCUUAAGUGCGUGCAGACAUGUGAAUUACAGGAAAACUAACAAUGACGAGAAAAAUUAACAGUAAGUUGCAGCAUAGUGAAUGAAAUGCAAUAUGACAGGCAGAAUAACUUGACUCUAAGCAUGAUUCACUUAUUUUCAUAUGCUAAUUCACAUAACAAAACCAGCAGCCCGAGUAUUCAAUGAAAGCGAUCGAGACAAGCAUGAACAAAUAUUAAACUGCACCAUUUCACAAACGAUUGGACAUCAAUCAUUCAGGUCACAAGGCAAAUAAUCCGAGCCAAAAGGCAUUCCAAAACAUUUAAGUAUAACUCCCAUACAUGUUCGUGCAAAUCCUCCCUCAACCCAUGCCUUUUCUAAGUCGACUCAAACACUUUCCAAAUUUGACAAACCUACAACUCUUAUCAUGUUUCAAUCACCAUUAACAAGAAUAGGAAGGAGAGAGGUGAACCUAAAAUUGCAAAAUUCUUCAAUUAAGUUCGUUUGAAAUUGAAUACAAGUGAACUCGACACUGAAAUUUGAAGUAACAGCAGCAGACAAAUAGGAAUCGAACCAGCGACACAGCAGCGGCAGGAACCACGAACAAAUACCUCUCGAGCAGUUGACGGACCUCAUCUAAACUCCAUUUCUUGUUAAACAAAUCAGAAGCUGAUAUAUUCUUUUUGGUAUUUUCUGUUUUGAAAAUCAAAAGAAAGACUAAUAGAGAGCUCUAAGCUUUUUGUACGCCAAUGAAGUGAAAAUUGGAAAGAAGAACAUGAAAAUCAGAAAACCCUCGCCCUUCUUCUUUUCCCAUUUUUUCUCCGAAAGAAAAAAAACCCCAUCUCUGUAUAGACUCAAAUAUAUAGCUCCCUCUUGAAGCUUCUCCUUCUUCAACAAGAAAUUCCCCCAAAAACCCGCAUUUGCCCUUCAAUAAAUUCCGAAAAUCUCAAACCCCCAAAUGAAAAUCCCCUCUUGUUCUUCUUUCUGGAUGGUUCUAAGACAAAUGGAAGACUAGGAUUUAAAGUCUUCAAAUCCUACGUCUACCAUUAAUCCGAAUUCCAUUCAAGGGAAGCAAAAGCUCGUGGAAAGGGGUAAAAUGGAAUAUCUUCUUCUGACAGAGGUCGUUAUGGUCUUGAUGAUGUGGAAGAGAGAAAAGAGAGGAGGGGGGACCAUGAGGGUUCGUUUAUGGUGAGGUUUGGGUUGGGUUAUGGCAGCAGGAGGUGUGAGGGAGAAGAGGGUGCGGUUGGUUUAGUCUUUAGGGUUAGGGGUUGGAGUGAUAUAACUGAGUUUGUAUUUGGGUGUGGGAAAAUAAGGUGGACCGUUGGAUUUGGUGAAUGGAUGACCGCGAUUUAAUCAGGAAGAUGGAGCGGGUCGGGUCAUUUGGGCAGAUCUCAGUUGGGUUAAGGGAAAAGGAUGGGCUGCCCAGAUUUGG
This 2282-nucleotide long non-coding RNA is filed under the name Nicotiana tabacum (common tobacco). Its description in RNAcentral is "long non-coding RNA (NTAB_LNC015545)". Lineage: Eukaryota; Viridiplantae; Streptophyta; Magnoliopsida; Solanales; Solanaceae. The record is from RNAcentral.